RNAcentral lists this ribosomal RNA (473 nucleotides) under uncultured bacterium. RNAcentral's name for it is "bacterial SSU rRNA". It matches the Rfam family "Bacterial small subunit ribosomal RNA", at positions 28 to 526 of the family's 1533-position model. The record is from RNAcentral.
AAUGAACGUUGGCGGCGUGGAUUAGGCAUGCAAGUCGGACGCCCCGCAAGGGAGUGGCGCAAGGGUGAGUAAGGCGACGGUAACCAACCCCGCGGUUGGGCAUAGCCGAGGGAAACCUCGGGUAAUUCCCAGCGACGUCAGCCGUCGGCAUCGACGACUGACCAAAGAUUUAUCGCCGCGGGACGGGCCGUCGUGGUAUUAGCUUGUUGGUGGGGUGACGGCCCACCAAGGCUGCGAUGCCUACCGGGUGUGCGAGCAUGGCCCGGCACACUGGGACUGAGACACUGCCCAGACUCCUACGGGAGGCUGCAGUCGAGAAUCUUCGGCAAUGGGCGCAAGCCUGACCGAGCGACGCCGCGUGGAGGACGAAGGCCUUCGGGUUGUAAACUCCUGUCGAGGGGGAGGAAGCCGCAAGGUUGACCGAUCCCUGGAGGAAGCACGGGCUAAGUUCGUGCCAGCAGCCGCGGUAAAAC